Molecule: ribosomal RNA, 253 nt
Filed under: uncultured bacterium
Lineage: Bacteria
Description: partial 16S ribosomal RNA
Rfam family: Bacterial small subunit ribosomal RNA
Source: RNAcentral
UACGUAGGGUGCGAGCGUUGUCCGGAAUUAUUGGGCGUAAAGAGCUCGUAGGCGGUUUGUCACGUCUGCUGUGAAAUCCCGAGGCUCAACCUCGGGCCUGCAGUGGGUACGGGCAGACUGGAGUGCGGUAGGGGAGAAUGGAAUUCCUGGUGUAGCGGUGGAAUGCGCAGAUAUCGGGAGGAACACCAAUGGCGAAGGCAGCUCGCUGGGACGGUACUGACGCUGAGGCGCGAAAGCGUGGGGAGCAAACAGG